This 427-nucleotide ribosomal RNA is filed under the name uncultured bacterium. RNAcentral's name for it is "partial 16S ribosomal RNA". It matches the Rfam family "Bacterial small subunit ribosomal RNA", at positions 355 to 774 of the family's 1533-position model. The record is from RNAcentral.
UGGGGAAUAUUGGACAAUGGGCGAAAGCCUGAUCCAGCCAUGCCGCGUGUGUGAAGAAGGUCUUCGGAUUGUAAAGCACUUUAAGUUGGGAGGAAGGACAUUAACCUAAUACGUUAGUGUUUUGACGUUACCGACAGAAUAAGCACCGGCUAACUCUGUGCCAGCAGCCGCGGUAAUACAGAGGGUGCAAGCGUUAAUCGGAAUUACUGGGCGUAAAGCGCGCGUAGGUGGUUUGUUAAGUUGGAUGUGAAAUCCCCGGGCUCAACCUGGGAACUGCAUUCAAAACUGACUGACUAGAGUAUGGUAGAGGGUGGUGGAAUUUCCUGUGUAGCGGUGAAAUGCGUAGAUAUAGGAAGGAACACCAGUGGCGAAGGCGACCACCUGGACUAAUACUGACACUGAGGUGCGAAAGCGUGGGGAGCAAACA